UAUGACACAUAGCCAUAGAUCCGCUAGUCACGCCAUCGUGGUAAAACUUUUUGAGAAAGUGUUGUCUUUCAAACAAAACCCGUUAAUUCCCUCUCUCGUUACUCCUCCUUUUAAAAAUGCAGCACCACCCAGUACGAUACGGUCAUACUAUCGAUCAUCAAUGAAAAAUGUCCAUACGAUAAAAUCAUCAUGCAAAAGACGGUAAUAAAACGCCACAUUUUUAUUUUUUAUCGAGCUGCCGGAAGAUUGUGCAAUAAUAUACAGAUGGAAUCAUUUUUCAAGGUUAGGUAAUUCAAACCUGCGCAAAACCUCUUUCUUGACAUACCAUCUAACGGUGGGAAUAUCAAAUUUGCCAUCCAUGAUGAACCGAACGCGGUCGACCGGUCUUAAAAAAAAUGCAUAGCCUUUAUCCAUAACGUAUCAGAUUUUUUUCCUUUUUUUUUCUUUCUUUUUGUUAAGUUUGAAAGGAAGUUGUAAAUGAGAAAACGGAGGCUCGCAACUUUGGGAUAAGCAAUCAACAGGGAAUGUCUGGGGAACAUCAGAACAGGCUGCUGCUGCUGGCACUCCCACUCGUCAAGAAGAGGCUUUUCUUGGUAAAAUUCGAUUGAUAAGGAUUUGAAAGCUCGUCACUUGGUGAAUCUAUAACGAUUCUUUCACUGACGCCGAAAAUCAAUUUUCAACAAGAUGAAAAAGAAAAAAAAAAUUCUCGUGAUGCUCCUUCAAGAAGCGGGAGAAAAAAAAAAUUCAAAAAUAGUUCAAAGUAAAGUUUUCAGAAGAGGAAGCUAUAGUCAAAGAGAAAUGAUAAGAGAGAGAACUUGAGCGCUCGUGAUCACUCUGCCUUCAGUUGCCUCUGCUCGAGCGCGGGUCUAGUUAUAGAUCCUUGGCAGUCUUGUGGGAAAGCAAGCGUGAGACAGAAUGUUGGAAUCAACGGGAGAAUUGGAUCAUACUGCGGUCAUGGAAAGUGCCAAUGUUGUUUUACCCGGUACUAGUGGACGAAAAGGCUUAUUCAUUAGCAGACGUGUGAUCGUGCUUCACCUGCUGAUUGUAUCCGCUGCUCUCAUUGCUGUGGCACUUGCUGUGCACUAUUUCGGGGUCAAGUGUCACCAUUACGACAACGACACUUCUGUGGUGCUGGAGCCAUCUACAGAAAAUCCUCCUUCUCUAAAAGCCAAUCCCGUGGUGGUGGUGGAUGUCCGUCUUCCAAAAAAUCUGCGGCCGCUACACUACGACAUCCGCCUGCUACCUUGGAUGGACGAGAGUAAUUUUACUAUCAACGGGUUCAUUCACAUUUUGAUCGAGUGCGUUGAAAACACCAACAAGAUCGUCCUACACAGCACUGACAUUGAGAUAGACCGCGUGUCUGUCAAAAUCGUCAAUAACGCUGAAAUCAUAGAGGUCGAUGAGUUCGAGGAAAAUAUUGAGCGGCAGUUUUUCAUCAUUCAUUUAAAAUCGAUUCAUUUACUUGAAGAAGGAAAUCGCUACAAUAUUUCGAUGAAUUUCACGAGCAUAUUGAACGAAAACCAACACGGAUUCUAUCGCGCUUCCUAUACAGAAUACGGCCAGAAAAAGUACAUUGCUAUGACUCAAAUGGAGCCGGUAGAUGCACGCAGAGUUUUCCCUUGUUUCGACGAACCAAGUUUCAAGGCGGAAUUCAGCAUCACUUUAGGCCGAAAACGGGACAUGAUUUCCUUGUCAAACAUGCCAAAAAUAAAAACGACCCCCAUUGAAGGAGUAUCAGAUUAUGAAUGGGAUUAUUUUGAGAGAUCUGUACCCAUGUCAAGUUACUUGGUUGCAAUGAUUAUCGCUGAUUACUCUUAUGUUGAAUCCAACGCAAGUCACAACAAUAUUACUUUCCGUGUUUGGGCUAGACAUUCUGCCAUAAAUCAAACAAAGUAUGCUCUGGAGAUGGGCCCCAAAAUGUUGCAGUUUUUUCAAGAAUACUUUGGCAUCGACUACCCACUGCCUAAACAAGAUAUGAUUGCUCUGCCAAGUUUCCAUGGAGCGAUGGAAAACUGGGGGUUAAUCACAUAUGGAGAACAGCAAUUGCUGUACGAUCCCGACAUGUCGUCAGAUUCACAUCGUGAAAUUAUAGCCCAAGUGAUUGCUCACGAGCAAGCGCACCAAUGGUUCGGCAACUUAGUAACCAUGCAGUGGUGGAACGAUUUAUGGUUGAAUGAGGGAUUUGCAUCUUACAUGUCUUACAUUGGAGCUAAUCACUUCGAACCAAACUAUCGGCUGUGUCAACAGUUCGUCAUUAAUGAGAUUCAGUCUGUCAUGGGCGUUGAUGGAUUAAUCACAUCACACCCAAUCAAUCAGCCCGUUCAUCAUCCGGACGAAAUAAAUAAAAUUUUUGACAGGAUUUCGUAUAAUAAAGGCGCAUCAAUAGUCCGAAUGUUGGCCGAGUUUUUGGGCCAUGGAACUUUCCAGCGUGGUCUCUCAUAUUAUUUAAAAUCUCGAAUGUAUGGUAACGCUGUGCAAGACGAUUUAUGGGCGGCGCUAACCUAUCAAGCUGAAUUAGAUUCGGUUCAAUUGCCAACAGAUAUAAAAACAAUCAUGGAUUCUUGGACACUCAAAAUGGGUUAUCCCGUUGUCAACGUAAUAAGGAAUUACACGUCUUCGGUUAUUACAGCUCAACAGGAACGCUUUCUAAUGAAUUCACGACAAGAGUUAAACACAACAUACCGGUGGUGGAUCCCUUUGUCUUACUCAUCAAAAGCCCACCCUGAUAUUGUCCAAUGUGGAUGGAUUCCGGAACACUCGGAUCAAGUAAACAUUUCACUUGAGGCAACCAAAAUUCAGUGGGUCAUCUUCAAUAUCGAUCAAGUUGGUUAUUAUCGUGUUAAUUAUGACCAACACAAUUGGCAUCUGAUUAUUCAGCAGCUGACGGAAGAUCCGCGUGAGAUUUCUGUGAUUAACCGGGCCCAGUUGAUUGACGAUGCCUUUAAUCUGGCUAGAACAGGUCUUCUAGAUUAUUCCAUUACUUUAAAUUUAACACACUACCUGCAGAGAGAGGUUGAGUACAUUCCGUGGAGGUCAGCCGCUUCCGGAAUAAAAUUUCUCGACUCAAUGUUGUGCCGCACGAAAAUCUACGGAAUCUUUCAAGAUUAUGUCAUCCGAAUGGUCGAUGGAUUCUUCCAUCACGUUGGUGAGUCGCAUGAUGACCAGAGAACUCUUCGUGACAAUCCGAUUCGUGCCAACACGCAAACCAUCGCUUGGCGAUUAGCUUGCCAUUUCCAGCAUUGUGGCUGCAUACAGAGAGCAACAAAGCUCUACUCCAAUUGGAUGGAUCACCCCGACCAGCAUAUCAUCCCAACUCAUUUGAAAUCUAUCGUGAGCUGUACGGCUGUGGAACAUGGUGGUAAAAAGGAAUGGGAGUUUGCGUAUUCCAAAUUCAACACUUCAAACUCCGCUACCGAAAAAGACGACAUGCUAGAGGCAAUGAGUUGCACUAAUCAAGCUUGGAUUUUGAAAAGAAUGAUUGACUGGGUCAUACAAGGGCCAUUAACCAAAAUGGACUCUAUCCAUAUGUUAAUCUAUUUGGUUCGUAAUCCACUUGGCCGUUAUCUUGCAUUUGAUUUUUUCAAAAUUCAUUGGGAUAAAAUUCUCAAGUUAAGCCUUCGUUCAGGAAUGCCCACUUUUGAAGCUUUAUUCGGCAUCGCAAUCGAAUCGUUUAACACUCAGGCUGAGCUCGAUCAAAUGAAAGAUUUUCUUGAUGGGAAGUUACAAGGACACACUGGACCCAUUUUACGCACUUUUGACCAACUGAUAGAACGAACUGAAGCAAACAUUUUUUGGAUGGAUCGUUACAAAGAAAAUAUUGUUCUGUGGUUAUCUCAAACGGCUGAAGACCUUUCUAAUUUCAUUCCCAAGUCAAGUCGACUGCCGUAGUGUUUUUGGAAAUUAUUUGAUCCUCAUUAAUGGCACUGUCAGUCUGAGACUGUUCAGACUUGAGAGACUGUUGUUGCUUUUAUUCUUUGGCGGUUGUUUUUCUCCGAAAGCACUUGUAUUGCGAACCCACCAACAUGCAGAUCGAGACAAGGAGAACAGUUUCGUUAUAUAACCUGAAACGAAGGGUUCUUGAAAAGUUGUCAACAAGGAGAAAGCUGAAAAUAGGAAGUAGCACCAUUAUGUUUCUUAUUUUGAGUUAUUACGCCUACCUGAAAAAAUAUGGGAAGAUGGCUAAACUGAAAUCAUUGAUGGAAAAUAAGCGAGCUAUUUAUAGAGAACACAUUGCAGGAGCUCACCAGACAAUGUUAGAAAAAAUCAGAGUGAAGAGGAGACAAAAAACAUUGGAUGAAAUGCUUAAGAGAAGAUAAGAUAUCAGCUACCAAAAAGCAUCAAAAAUUCUUUCAAAUCUUGGUAGGCCUUGUCAAGCUGGUCAUUCUCAAUUACAAUGUCAAAAUUCUGGGGUUCACUGCCUGAAGAACAAAGAAUCACUCUCAUUAAAUGGUGAAUAGAUUAUAAAAAAUUGUAACAUGUAUUGAAGUAUACCAUAUUCCAUCUCAGCUUUGGCUGUUAGGAGUCUUUUCUGAAGACUCUCUUCACUCUCAGUAUUUCUUCCCCUAAGUCUUUGUUCCAAGACCUCCAUUGAAGGGGGUUUCAUAAAAAUGAAAAUUGGAUUAAGAGAUGUCUCCUUUAUAAGUUUCACCCCUUGAGUAUCAAUAUCCAAAAUGCAUAUUUUAUUGCUGCGCUGAACAUCUUCCACUGCCUUUUUACUAAAUACAAAAAAGUAUUAAUAAAAUAAUAACACAUCUUAAAA
Molecule: RNA transcript, 4759 nt
Organism: Daphnia pulex (common water flea)
Lineage: Eukaryota; Metazoa; Arthropoda; Branchiopoda; Diplostraca; Daphniidae
Gene name: aminopeptidase N-like
Exons: 22
Source: RefSeq, a predicted model, not a curated record